This 500-nucleotide ribosomal RNA is filed under the name uncultured bacterium. RNAcentral describes it as "partial 16S ribosomal RNA". It matches the Rfam family "Bacterial small subunit ribosomal RNA", at positions 30 to 523 of the family's 1533-position model. The record is from RNAcentral.
AUUGAACGCUGGCGGAAUGCUUUACACAUGCAAGUCGAACGGCAGCACGGACUUCGGUCUGGUGGCGAGUGGCGAACGGGUGAGUAAUAUAUCGGAACGUGCCCAGUCGUGGGGGAUAACGUAGUGAAAAUUACGCUAAUACCGCAUACGAUCUAUGGAUGAAAGCGGGGGAUCGCAAGACCUCGCGCGAUUGGAGCGGCCGAUAUCAGAUUAGGUAGUUGGCGAGGUAAAGGCUCACCAAGCCGACGAUCUGUAGCUGGUCUGAGAGGACGACCAGCCACACUGGGACUGAGACACGGUCCAGACUCCUACGGGAGGCAGCAGUGGGGAAUUUUUGACAAUGGACGCAAGUCUGAUCCAGCCAUUCCGCGUGCAGGACGAAGGCCUUCGGGUUGUAAACUGCUUUUGUACAGAACGAAAAGGUCUCUAUUAAUACUAGGGGCUCAUGACGGUACUGUAAGAAUAAGCACCGGCUAACCACGUGCCAGCCGCCGCGGUAA